AAACGGGUAACGGGGAAUUAGGGUUUGAUUCCGGAGAGGAGCUCGAGAAACGGCUACCACUUCCAAGGAAGGCAGCAGGCGCGCAAAUUACCCACUGGCGACACGCCGAGGUAGUGACAACAAAUAAGUAGGUAGGUCUCAUUAGGGAUUUGCCAUACGAAUGAGUACAAUUUAAACCCCUUAACGAAAGCCACUGGAGGGCAAGUCUGGUGCCAGCAGCCGCGGUAAUUCCAGCUCCAGUAGCGUAUAUUAAAGCUGUUGCGGUUAAAAAGCUCGUAGUCGGAACUGAAGACUGUCAGAAGACUGGUCCAUGCAUAGUCAUGAGUACUGGUCAUCGAGUCUUUAUAAACUUCUGGAUGCCUGCUCCUACUCUUUAUUGAGUGGAAGUAACAAGCAAGCUGUGUUGGCAACAAUGCAGAUUGUGAAGGUUCCAGAUCGAUUACUUUGAGAAAAUUAGAGUGUUCAAAGCAGGCGGUCACGCCUUGAAUACAUUAGCAUGGGAUAAUGCCAUGGGACUCUGAGCCCAUUUCGUUGGUUUCUGGGAAUGGAGUCACGAUCAACAGGGACAGUUGGGGUGAUUCAUAUUUUGCCGACAGGGGUGAAAUCCUAUGACCGGCGAAAGAUGAACUAGUGCGAAAGCAUUUCACAAGGAUGUUUUCAUUGAUCAAGAACGAAAGUUGAGGGAUCGAAGGCGAUCAGAUACCGCCCUAGUCUCAACCAUAAACCAUGCCGACCAGGGAUCGGGAGACGUUCAAAUUAUACGACUCCCCCGGCACCUUGUGAGAAAUCACAAGUCUUUGGGCUUCGGGGGGAGUAUGGUCGCAAGGCUGAAACUUAAAGGAAUUGACGGAACGAUACCACCAGGAGUGGAGCCUGCGGCUUAAUUCGACCCAACACGGGAAAACUCACCAGGUCCAGACAGCGGAAGGAUGUACAGACUUGCAGAUCUUUAUAGAUUCGCUGGGUGGUGGUGCAUGGCCGUUCUUGGCUCGUGCGUUGACUUGUCUGGUUAAUUCCGUUAACGAGCGAGACCUCAGCCUGCUAAAUAGUCAGUGGACUCCUUUUCACCUUCGGGGGAAAAAUGGAGUGGCAAUGUUGACUUCUUAGAGGGACCAUGCGUUUCUAGCGCAGGGAAGUUUGAGGCAAUAACAGGUCUGUGAUGCCCUUCGAUGUCCUGGGCUGCACGCGCGCUACACUGAUGAACUCAACGAGUCUAUAGCUUGGCCGAAGGGUCUGGCUAAUCUCAUCAAAGUUCAUCAUGAUGGGGAUAGAUCAUUGCAAUUAUUGAUCUUCAACGAGGAAUUCCUAGUAGGUGCGAGUCAUCAGCUCGCGCCGAUUACGUCCCUGUCGUUUGUACACACCGCCCGUCGCUCCUACCGAUUGGAUGAUCAGGUGAACACCUCGGACGGUCUUGGCACUGCUGAUGGGGGAAACUCUGUUGACGGCCUAAAGAAAAACCGAAAGUCGUGUAAACCUUAUUAUCUAGAGGAAGGAGAAGUCGUAACAAGGUU
This 1511-nucleotide ribosomal RNA is filed under the name metagenome. Its description in RNAcentral is "SSU rRNA". It matches the Rfam family "Eukaryotic small subunit ribosomal RNA", at positions 353 to 1801 of the family's 1831-position model. The record is from RNAcentral.